This is a long non-coding RNA of Harpia harpyja (harpy eagle), 1332 nucleotides long. RefSeq lists it as uncharacterized. The record is from RefSeq and is a predicted model, not a curated record. Lineage: Eukaryota; Metazoa; Chordata; Aves; Accipitriformes; Accipitridae. The transcript has 2 exons.
CUUUGCAGGUGGGGAAACUGAGGCAGGGAGCAGCCCACACAGAGGCCUGCAGACGUGCUGAGCCCAGCUCUCCUGCCCCCCCCCCCCCCCCCAAAAUCUGCCCUGGCCCCCCCUGCCAGUGCCUCGGUGCCCGUCUCCCCCCCGCCCCGGCGUGUGCGCUUGGGGGAGCAGCGGGCGCUGAUCGCGGCUGACAGCUGCUCGGCGUUUGCCGGGUGCGUGCCGCCCUUUCCGAGGGGACCGCGGAGCCGGCAGACGGGUGACAGACGCAGACCCCGCUUCGUGGUGGGGGGGGGGGGGGGGGUCUUGGGGUUGGGAGCAGGGUGGCGGGGGCCCCCCGCUGCUGACCUGCGGGGCCUGAUCCUGCUGCUCCCCGUCGCGCCAUGAUUAUCCGCCCCAGACGCUUAACCCCGGGGUAUUUCCGUCUGCUCCAGAUGCAGCUGGCGGCGGGGCGGGGGGCCGAGCCGGGGGGGCGACUGCUGACCCCCCUGGCCCUGCUGCUGGCGGCUGCCGGGCUCUGCCUCUCCUUCUACAGCGCCCGGAGGAUGGCCGGCCCCACCAAAACCCCCCCAGAGCCGUGAGGAGGGGGCCGGGGUCCCCCUCUGCCCGCUGUCCACCCCCCCACCCCACGCCCGAACGGAGCUGCCGGAUGCGGAUCCUUUCCAGCUGAUCUGCGCCACAUCCAGCCCUUCCCUCCAUGCCUGGGCGGUGCGAUGCCCCAGGGCUUGGGGACACGCACCUCUGUCCCCCUGUCCGUCCCCGUUUUUGGGAGCCGGUUCAACAACCAGGAUGGAGAACGGAGAAGCCACCUCCUGGUUCCAGAGCCGCCGGCUGAGCCCCUGACCGAACCGCUGCGAGACACCACGAUCCCGCCACAACACGAACAGAGCCUGAACGGAUAGAUGGAUGGACGAUGGAGCCUGGUGCUCCGUCCAUCUCCAUCUUCUCCCCAAGUAGAAGGGGCCCGGGGGGGGCCCCUUGCACCCCGCUGGCAGCCAACGCAGCCCCCCCAUCCCUGCGUGGGGGGACCGCGUCGUGGCCGCAGCCAGCCCGGCCCUGCGGAAAGGAGGUCAGCGCCGAAAGCCGUUAGGUAACGCGGCGGGGAGGGCUGGGACCAGACCGACCUCUGCAACAACGGGGUCGGGGGGAGACGGGGCCACGGGGUCAGCGACGUGUCCCCUGGGCAGGCACGUCCCGCUGGGAUGGCGUCUGCAACCUUCCCGGUCCCCCUCACGCUCAGCAAACCCACGCAGAGCUGCAGCAUUUCAUCUCCCCGGAGCCGGGGACAAAUCCGGGCGGGCUGCGUAGAAAUAAACCCUUUUCCUGCUGAGCACA